ACCUAAGCCCCGCCCCUCCGGGGCGGAGUCACGGCUCGCGACUGGCCUAAAUCGCCGCAGGACACCAUGAAGCAGUUGCCAGUCUUGGAACCUGGAGACAAGCCCAGGAAAGCAACAUGGUCUGUAACGAAGGAUCCAGACACAGAAAAGCAUGAGUUUUUGUUUCAUUUAUAAGUAGUUUACUAACAUAUUUGAUCAUCAACAAAAAAGGGUAGAGACGAAACCGUCUGCAGUUGCUGGUAAUUAGACUCAAACUGUCUGAGCAGGUCUUCAGAGGAAAGAUAGGGGGGCAGUAAUUAUCACAGAGCAGAUGUUGAUUUUAUUAAAAUCCAUUUACCAGAAAGAGUAAGGCACUGACCAUCUGGCAUCGUCAGCUCCAAUGCUGUGUCUUCCCCCAAGCUCUGACUCAUUUCUAAGAUUUUUAGGAAAUUAGAUUUGGAUUAAACUGGCUUCACUGUU
This is a long non-coding RNA of Cercocebus atys (sooty mangabey), 459 nucleotides long. RefSeq lists it as uncharacterized. Lineage: Eukaryota; Metazoa; Chordata; Mammalia; Primates; Cercopithecidae. The transcript is spliced from 2 exons. The record is from RefSeq and is a predicted model, not a curated record.